Molecule: ribosomal RNA, 441 nt
Filed under: Triticum aestivum (bread wheat)
Lineage: Eukaryota; Viridiplantae; Streptophyta; Magnoliopsida; Poales; Poaceae
Description: partial small subunit ribosomal RNA
Source: RNAcentral
AUGAUAGGUUGUUUUUGGAACAUCAGAGGGUUGAAUGGCCCCAUUAAAGUUGACAAGCUUAAAGAGCUCAUUAGAGCCAAUAGCCCUGAUUUUAUUUGUAUAUCUGAGACUAAGAAAGAAGAGUUUACUCUUCUCCAGAUUGAAGCCUUUGAUCCCAGAUCUGUUUUCCAAUGGAAAUGGCUUCCUGCAAGUAACACUGGGGGGAUCUUAGUUGGAUGUAAGGUGGAUAUGUUUGAUUUAAUUCAGUGUGGUUUACACAACUUCAGCAUUUCUUGCUUGAUUAAAAACAAGCAAGAUCUCUCCAUUUGGAGACCUGUUGCAGUUUAUGGCAUUGCAUAUGACCAGUUUAAAAUGGAUUUCAUUAAUGAACUCCACUCCCUGCUAACUAACUGGGUAGGGCCCACUCUGGUUGGAGGAGAUUUCAAUUUAAUUAGAGAGGCU